Molecule: long non-coding RNA, 960 nt
Filed under: Sparus aurata (gilthead seabream)
Lineage: Eukaryota; Metazoa; Chordata; Actinopteri; Spariformes; Sparidae
Description: lncRNA (ENSSAUG00010006662.1)
Source: RNAcentral
CAGAGACGUUGGGAUCCUGAGUGAAGACGCAUCUUUCGACAGGCUUGUGAUUUUAGGAAAGGGCUCAGCAAGCUGAACACCAUAGAAAAGUCACUAGUGACCUUCAUGUAACGUUCAUCACUCAGGAUAACGGUCUACUGCAACAUCUUGAAGCGGUCAUCACAUGAAAAGUUACAUCCUCAUGGGCAACAUCAAAGGGCAGGGUGAUCAUUUUCUUUGUGGAGGAUGAGCAGCUGGACAGAGUGCUGGGCUUCUUGACAAGCCUGGUUGAAGCACAGACAACCAGGUGUCACAAUCACGUGGCAUUUGUUAUGGAUGUGCUUCUGCCAGAGUUACCUGUUGAGGUGUGUUUUCCUUCAGUCUGGAGUCCUGAGGAGAAAUUCAGAAAAGGAAAAUCAAUAUAAAGCAGCUUUUUGAUUGGAGGACAGCUGUGGACCGAACCAACACUCUCAGGUUGUUUUGUGAAAAAUGUUCUUGGGCCUCAGAUAAAUUUCAGUGGAAGCCCUCUGGAGUCAUUUUACCAGUUCAUUACAGGUGAGAUGAACAUUUGAACACACAAGUCGGCAGACUGGUUCAUAAAGGGUUAAAGUUAUAGUCUUAACAUUUUAAGAAGUAUGCUCAUUCAACUUCAUUUCAUUUAUAAAUUUACAUCAUAAAUGGAGUGUCGGGGCCUUGUUUAACCAGUCCAUUCAGCCUCUAUCCCAGUGUAACCAGUACCCUCAGCCUGUCUGUCCUUGUAUAAUAUAUUGUACAAUAAUUGAACAUAUAUUUUUAGGAGUUCAUACGGUUCGUGUCUCAUGGUGGACUAUUUGUAUUGCUUUUUGAUCAUCUGCAUCUCUUCUGGUUGAUAAGGACACUGAUAAACUUCUCUUUUUUAAAAUAGAUAACAGGAAGUGGUUCCGUUGCUAGGUUGAGCUGUUUUUUCUCAGAUUCAUGCUUUCAUUUUGCCUCAUAGAAAAU